GACGAACGCUGGCGGCGUGCUUAACACAUGCAAGUCGAACGGAAAGGCCCUGCUUUUGUGCGGUGCUCGAGUGGCGAACGGGUGAGUAACACGUGAGUAACCUGCCAUUGACUUUGUGAUAACUUCAGGAAACUGGGGCUAAUACCGGAUAGGAGCUCCUGCGGCAGGGUGGGCGUUGGAAAGUUUAGGCGGUUGGGGAUGGACUCGCGGCUUAUCAGCUUGCUCGGGGGGUAGUGGCUUACCAAGGCUUUGACGGGUAGCCGACCUGAGAGGGUGACCGGCCACAUUGGUACAGAGCUAAGGCCCAGACUCGUACAGGAAGCGAAAGUGGUGAGUAGUAGACAGUGGAAGGCGGGCUGGUGCAGCAACGCAGCGUGCGGGAUGACGGGCAUCGGGUAGUAUCGCGAUUUCGCCUGUGACGGAGUGUGAAUGACGGUAAUGGGUAAAGAAGCACCGGCUAACUACGUG
RNAcentral lists this ribosomal RNA (468 nucleotides) under uncultured bacterium. RNAcentral describes it as "partial 16S ribosomal RNA". It matches the Rfam family "Bacterial small subunit ribosomal RNA", at positions 28 to 507 of the family's 1533-position model. The record is from RNAcentral.